This 353-nucleotide ribosomal RNA is filed under the name Acanthanas pusillus. Its description in RNAcentral is "partial small subunit ribosomal RNA". The record is from RNAcentral. Lineage: Eukaryota; Metazoa; Arthropoda; Malacostraca; Decapoda; Alpheidae.
AGUAGGUAGGGGCUUGAAAACCAAAGGAUUUGGCGGUGUUUAAUUCAUUUAGAGGAACUUGUGCUGUAAACGAUGAACCGCGAGGAUCUUUCUUCAUUUUGUAGAGUUUGUAUACCGUCAUUAAGGUAUCUUUAAGAGGAGGUACUGAGAUAGGGAGGAAAAGUUAGUAAAGAAAAAUAGCUUUGAUAGAUCCUAAAAUAUUAGAUCAAGGUGCGGCUAAUAAUGAAGUGGUCAUGGGUUACAAUUCUUAUAAAGAAUAACGGAGAGGUUGAUGAAAUUCAACUUUGAAGGCGGAUUUAAAUGUAAAUUAAAUAAAUGAUAUUUUAUUGAUAAGAAUCUUAAAUGUGUACACA